RNAcentral lists this transfer RNA (93 nucleotides) under Bacilli bacterium. RNAcentral's name for it is "tRNA-Ser". It matches the Rfam family "tRNA". Rfam says of the family: Transfer RNA (tRNA) molecules are approximately 80 nucleotides in length. Lineage: Bacteria; Bacillati; Bacillota; Bacilli. The record is from RNAcentral.
GGAGUAAUACUCAAGAGGCUGAAGAGGCGCCCCUGCUAAGGGUGUAGGUCGGGGAAACCCGGCGCGAGGGUUCAAAUCCCUCUUACUCCGCCA